CCUACGGGUGGCAGCAGUGAGGAAUAUUGGUCAAUGGGCGCAAGCCUGACCCAGCCAAGUAGCGUGAAGGAUGAAGGCCCUACGGGUUGUAAACUGCUUUUACAGGGGAAUAACAUGCGACACGUGUGGCUUUUUGCAUGUACCUUAUGAAUAAGGACCGGCUAAAUCCGUGCCAGCAGCCGCGGUAAUACGGAGGGUCCGAGCGUUAUCCGGAUUUAUUGGGUUUAAAGGGAGCGUAGGUGGGAUGUUAAGUCAGUUGUGAAAGUUCGGGGCUCAACCAGAGCAUUGCAGUUGAAACUGGCAGUCUUGAGUACAGGUGAGGCAGGCGGAAUUCGUGGUGUAGCGGUGAAAUGCUUAGAUAUCACGAAGAACUCCGAUUGCGAAGGCAGCCUACUGAACUGCGACUGACGCUGAGGCUCGAAAGUGUGGGUAUCAAACAGGAUUAGAUACCCGGGUAGUC
Molecule: ribosomal RNA, 460 nt
Filed under: uncultured bacterium
Lineage: Bacteria
Description: partial 16S ribosomal RNA
Rfam family: Bacterial small subunit ribosomal RNA
Source: RNAcentral